This 440-nucleotide ribosomal RNA is filed under the name uncultured bacterium. Its description in RNAcentral is "partial 16S ribosomal RNA". It matches the Rfam family "Bacterial small subunit ribosomal RNA", at positions 338 to 795 of the family's 1533-position model. The record is from RNAcentral.
CCUACGGGAGGCAGCAGUGGGGAAUAUUGCACAAUGGGGGGAACCCUGAUGCAGCAACGCCGCGUGGGUGAAGAAGUACUUCGGUAUGUAAAGCCCUGUCAGCAGGGAAGAAAAUGACGGUACCUGACCAAGUAGCCCCGGCUAACUACGUGCCAGCAGCCGCGGUAAUACGUAGGGGGCAAGCGUUAUCCGGAUUUACUGGGUGUAAAGGGAGCGUAGACGGCAAGGCACGUCUGGAGUGAAAGCCCGUGGCUCAACCACGGGACUGCUUUGGAAACUGUGUUGCUGGAGUGCAGGAGGGGUAAGCGGAAUUCCUAGUGUAGCGGUGAAAUGCGUAGAUAUUAGGAGGAACACCGGUGGCGAAGGCGGCUUACUGGACUGUAACUGACGUUGAGGCUCGAAGGCGUGGGGAGCAAACAGGAUUAGAUACCCCAGUAGUC